RNAcentral lists this long non-coding RNA (232 nucleotides) under Capsicum annuum. Its description in RNAcentral is "long non-coding RNA (CANN_LNC019404)". Lineage: Eukaryota; Viridiplantae; Streptophyta; Magnoliopsida; Solanales; Solanaceae. The record is from RNAcentral.
GCAUACUCAGUACAUUCCAAAGUACUGAUUCAUAUAUACUUCUAUGUGCUACAUUGUCUCGUAAUAUAGGUUCAGCUUAUAGCGUAUGUACCAUAUUCCAUUAGUUCACCGCUUCCAGUCAUCAGAUGAUGGGUCCCUUUGAUUCAGGGCUACGAGUCAGUGAUACAGUAGAAAAAUGUUGUAUUUCCCUUAUUCAGUCGUAUUGAGUUGGGGUUGUUAGGAGUCAUGACCC